Molecule: ribosomal RNA, 667 nt
Filed under: uncultured beta proteobacterium
Lineage: Bacteria; Pseudomonadati; Pseudomonadota; Betaproteobacteria
Description: bacterial SSU rRNA
Rfam family: Bacterial small subunit ribosomal RNA
Source: RNAcentral
CAUGCAAGUCGAACGGCAGCGCGGGAGCAAUCCUGGCGGCGAGUGGCGAACGGGUGAGUAAUACAUCGGAACGUGCCCAAUCGUGGGGGAUAACGCAGCGAAAGCUGUGCUAAUACCGCAUACGAUCUACGGAUGAAAGCAGGGGAUCGCAAGACCUUGCGCGAAUGGAGCGGCCGAUGGCAGAUUAGGUAGUUGGUGAGGUAAAGGCUCACCAAGCCUUCGAUCUGUAGCUGGUCUGAGAGGACGACCAGCCACACUGGGACUGAGACACGGCCCAGACUCCUACGGGAGGCAGCAGUGGGGAAUUUUGGACAAUGGGCGAAAGCCUGAUCCAGCCAUGCCGCGUGCAGGAUGAAGGCCUUCGGGUUGUAAACUGCUUUUGUACGGAACGAAACGGCCUUUUCUAAUAGAGAGGGCGAAUGACGGUACCGUAAGAAUAAGCACCGGCUAACUACGUGCCAGCAGCCGCGGUAAUACGUAGGGUGCAAGCGUUAAUCGGAAUUACUGGGCGUAAAGCGGGCGCAGGCGGUUAUGUAAGACAGUUGUGAAAUCCCCGGGCUCAACCUGGGAACUGCAUCUAUGACUGCAUAGCUAGAGUACGGUAGAGGGGGAUGGAAUUCCGCGUGUAGCAGUGAAAUGCGUAGAUAUGCGGAGGAACACCGAUGGC